GUCUAGAGCCAUGCCACCCUGAACGUGCCCGAUCUCGUCUGAUCUCAGAAGCUGAGCAGGGUUGGGCCUGGUUAGUACUUAGAUGGGAGACCACCUAGGAAGACCAGGUGCUGCAGGCG
Molecule: ribosomal RNA, 119 nt
Filed under: Pteropus alecto (black flying fox)
Lineage: Eukaryota; Metazoa; Chordata; Mammalia; Chiroptera; Pteropodidae
Also listed under: 1 other name
Source: RNAcentral